AUAUAAAUUGUGCUUUUUGUACCU
RNAcentral lists this non-coding RNA (24 nucleotides) under Arabidopsis thaliana (thale cress). The record is from RNAcentral. Lineage: Eukaryota; Viridiplantae; Streptophyta; Magnoliopsida; Brassicales; Brassicaceae.